AAUGAGAUGGCUGAGAACUUAUUAGGCAUUAGAUUGUAAAUCUAAAGACGGGAAAUUAAUCUCUCUCAUUA
This 71-nucleotide transfer RNA is filed under the name Upogebia affinis. Its description in RNAcentral is "tRNA-Tyr". It matches the Rfam family "tRNA". From Rfam's summary of the family: Transfer RNA (tRNA) molecules are approximately 80 nucleotides in length. Their secondary structure includes four short double-helical elements and three loops (D, anti-codon, and T loops). Lineage: Eukaryota; Metazoa; Arthropoda; Malacostraca; Decapoda; Upogebiidae. The record is from RNAcentral.